This 459-nucleotide ribosomal RNA is filed under the name uncultured bacterium. Its description in RNAcentral is "partial 16S ribosomal RNA". It matches the Rfam family "Bacterial small subunit ribosomal RNA", at positions 338 to 795 of the family's 1533-position model. The record is from RNAcentral.
CCUACGGGUGGCAGCAGUGAGGAAUAUUGGUCAAUGGGCGAGAGCCUGAACCAGCCAAGUCGCGUGAGGGAAGACGGUCCUAUGGAUGGUAAAUCCCUUUUGCAGGGGAGCAAAAAGCGGUACGUGUACCACAACGAGAGUACCCGGAGAAACAGCAUCGCCAAACGCCGUGCCAGCAGCCUCGGUAAUUCGGAGGAUGCGAGCGUUAUCGGGAUGUAGUGGGGUUAAAGGGUGCGCGGGCGGCGUGUUAAGUCAGCGGUAAAAGUUCGGGGCUAAACCCAGACGAGCAGUUGAAACUGGCAUGCUAGAGUGGGCGAGAGGUAAGCGGAAUGCGUGGUGUAGCGGUGAAAUGCAUAGAUAUCACGAAGAACACCGAUGGCGAAGGCAGCAUACCGGCGCCCAACUGACGCUCAGGCACGAAAGCGUGGGGAGCGAACAGGAUUAGAUACCCCAGUAGUC